AGGAGAUGGUGUUCGCAGGAUACUGGAAAGACCCUCAUUAUCUGUCAAUGAAUAUCAGGUAGGAAUCGGAUUGACGUAACGUCGUACUUUCCAUCACGACGCCCUAAACUGUAUUAGGGUAGAAAGUUAGAGGAAGAAAUCAUUGUCGGAUCAUUGGUAGUUUGUCUUUCUGCAAUACGCCAUAUCCAAUGUCCUACUCUCUUCACGUCAUGUGACAUUUCUGCUAUAGAUUAGCCUACUUAGCUCUUAUCUUAGUGUCGACUGGAGACCUUAUCGUAUAAUAUUUUAGCAUUCAGUCUUAAGAAUAGAGUGACGCUGUCUGUUCGUUUAUAAUUCCAUCGAUUGCUCGCUGUGAAUAAUCAGCAAGGACAUGGAGGAAAAGGAAUUGUGCCAGCACGACGGGAGCCGAGUUUGAUUAAAAAUACCAAGAGUUCUUUUUUUAUUUCUUUUUAUUUUCCAAUUGCUUAGAUUUUUUUUUUAAUAAGUAUGAUUAUCGUCUCUCAUAAAUGUUCCCGGAGGAUAAUGGAGAUUACCAAACAAGUUAAGAGAAACCAAAAGUCCAUUGAGGCGUCUCCUAUUGAUCCAAAAUCCACGAUCCUGGCAGAUGGUGGUCAAUAAUGGCCGAUGAGAUUUUUCGAUCACUUGUUUGGUCAGGAUUCAUUAAAAAAAUCCAAGAGAAAUUAUCGAUUUUUCUUUUUUCGACAGGAUAAAUUUGUUCGUCCUUUCUUCGGUUGACUAUUAGUCCUUAAAGCGGAUUUUCUAUUUAGAUACAAAUUGUCGGGGCUAAAAUUAGUGUUCAUUUUGAGUCGAUUAGGAGGUAGGCGAAGUGCGAAUGAACUGCUGAAAAAACUGCACAUUUUACAACCCCAUCGAACAUUAAGAGGUAGGCUACGAUGUUCAUGCCUAAUUUACAACAGCUGGUUUAAUCAAAGAGUUCUCUUUUCUAACUGCUACACGACUGGCGUAAAAGAUUGAAAGCCUCCAGACAUCUACAUCUCUGGAAUAAAGACAUUUGUUUGAAUAUGGGGGGGACGGAUGGUGGGCGAGAUGCGCUAACAUUUCCUACACCGUAGCGCGUAAUUAGCCAGGGAUUUUGGAGUACACCUUGGCCAAAGCCUUCGAUUAAUUCAUUAAAACGAUAGAAUGGGAAGAAACGAGGGAUGCCGAGAAAAUCAACAUCGAUUAUCCGCAAAAAGUUUUACAAGUUGAGAUCGAAAUUUCUUUGUUCUAUAAGCGCGGGUCGAUGAUCGCUCGAAUCGACGCAGCUUCUGUUGAUGAUGGAAGAAAGAAUAUCGUCCAACUGUUUAUUUUUAUGUUUUCCUGCUGGAAAUAGCAUUUAUUGUGUAUAAAAAUUCCAUAAUAUCCUUACUUCUUUAUUUUCUCUUUUAUAAUUUAAUUCGGUUCCAUUUGGGAAGGUAGAUAUAAUUUAAUUAAAGCUCACUUCAGAGUUUUAAAAUUAACAAAAGAAGACUCGAUUUAUUAUUAUGUAUAAAAAAGAAGAGAAUUAAUGAUAUAAGUUAAGGGUUUUCUUUAGGAAUCAUUAAGAAGAAUAAUCAGCUAUGGAGAGUAAUCGAGAAUAAUUGACAAAUUUCGGUCUUUAGCAGCUAACGAUUUCUCUAUGGUCUAAAUUAAAAAAGAAAGAAAUUUAGUUCGAUACAGUUCUAUCGACGGAUGCGUCUAAAUCUUCUCAGAAUCGCUAGUAAAUCGUUAGAAAUUAGCCAACCGUCUAAUGACUAGGUAAAAUAAUCGUCUCGGAGAUGUUCUACCGCUACAUAAGAGUUUAGCGGGCUAAUAGGCUUCCGGAUCUCUCGUUCUCCCUCAUUAGUUUUCAGCUAAGGGACGCUAAUAGUCGCUGGCUCCUCUAGUUCCCUUAGGUCUGCCAAACUGUCCACUCAUUAUCUUUAUAUAAGACCAGAUAAACUCUUCAAAUUUGGAUAGGCGAGAAAUUCGAUAGUCUCCAUCACCGAUACUUUACAAAUAUUCUCGGUAUGGUUGGACGUCUCGGAGACAGUCUAGCCCAGCCCUAUUAAUUGAUCAAUCCCAACUUUGUUGCCAGCGCUACAUCUUCCCAUAAAGUUGCCGACUAAUUUAUUUUUUGCCAGCUAACCGAAUUAGCUGGGCAUCCGAGUCCCAGAUAAACUUACAAUAACUAUUACCAAAUCCCUCUAAACACGUAUUUUUGGCUUCUCCGCACCGGUACCGUAUUAAUUAACAUAUCCAAACUUACCAGCCAUAAUUAUUGCCGUACGUAGUUGUAACUUUGCUAAAUUUUGCCAUUUAUUUCUGUUUCAUUAAUACUCGAAAAUUUAAUUUUCACGUUGUAGCCGUACCUCGGGGCCAAAACCCAGUUAAAUUUUGAAAACGCGACUGGCACAUUUCGAAGUCGUUAAAAUUAUUCCCUAGGGCGUUUAUAUUAAAAUAAAUUUCGCCCAAGAAUAGUUAACUUAAAAUGCCAAUCAUUAAGUGAACGUAAACAUCCAGUUAAUUAGCUCUAUCAUUCCGAUCGGUAAAAUCUUCGACAUUUUUAAAGCCACCCCAAUCCAUGGAAAAUAUCGGUUUUAAUUAUUAUUUUUAUUUUCUACGCUUUAAUCCGACCAUAAAAACGGCGGUUUCUGGUAAGGAAUUAGUUCUUUAAUUCCGGCAGGCUGGAAAUGACAAAAUGUCAGUAAACUGGCCGAGAAAAAAUGUAGCCAGAAAGGAAAAAAAAAUUCCAUUGUUAGUUGGGUAUCGGUUUUGAUAGGAUUAAAAAUUCCACCGCCGCUAUGAGACCCGCGGGUAUCAGGCGACAAUCGAUAGGCGGUAAUGGAGUUGUACGAUAUUUUGUAAGGUGCGAUGGCACUCGAGUCUUUCCCUCGAUACACUCGCUUCAUAAACUACUACCUCAGGCGUGGAAGCGUAAGUAAGCCGAGCCGUGUUAACAAAAUAGUUAUCCGCUCGUACCAGGGCUAAAGAAUUCUACAAACUUCGCAAAAUAUUAUAUGGCCUUGGUUAACAAAUCGAAUUUUCGAUGGAAAAUGGAAAAUCACCGGUCUGAUUGGUGUUACGUAGACGGCCGCGUAAUAUGUUUCCAGCAGCGCUCUUUUGAAUCGAUUCAAAGUCUUCUCGACACGCAUUUUAGACGAAAAUAAUUAAAGAAGUCGGUAUUUUUGGUCUGAAAAGUAGUUUUCCAAACAAAUGGUAGAAAUCGAUUUCAGGCCAGUGGAAGGAAAAAUCAAAUGCGCCUAAAGUCUCUACCAUAAAUAAAUACGGAGCGGUUUAAAUCCGAGGAUGGCUUUCAUCGGCAAACACCAGUUAAACCUUAAAACAGAUUACGUUACUCGGCCGAAUUCGAAACACUUAGGCCCAGGCUGUACAAUACUUAAAUUUAAAAGGCCUAAGUAGUGAAUAAACGCUCCUUUUAUAAGGCCAGCAUAAACUGGGAAAUUUUAUCCGGAGAACCGCUGUAAUAUCCUUCUAUAAGAUGUGCUGGUUGGAAAACUUGUCAAUAUAUAAAGAAACUAUAGGAUUAAGUCCUCUGGUAUACCGAUUUAUUUAUGUUGGACAUUUUGCAUAGGCCGUCUAUAAUUAAUUUAGCUUUUAACUAUAAUUUCCAUUAAGUACUCGGUCCUAUCCCGCGCAAUUAAUCCUUAAUUUAAUUUCUGUACAAUAAACCCGAAAAUUGUCCAAUCUAACCGUUAUAAAUUUAAUAAAUAACCCAGGAAUAUUCUUAUCCCUACAUAUUAAGUUAUCAGAAUGGUGAAAGCUGAUAAUCAGUAGCCAGGAAAAAAAAAAGAAACGCGUUCGGAUAGGAUAUUACCGGGAUUCUGAACACGUUAAUUGGGUUCAGGUGUUCAAGAUGGUUAGACGUAUCACUUAUAGGAAGACGGCUUUUAUUGAUUAUACUCGUCAGCGCCGAGCUUCGACGCUUACCAGAAAUGCCGCGAUAAAAAGUAAUGAUAGGUAUUAAAGGUGAAUUUUUUUUGUAUAUUUAAAACAGUCUAAUGAAAGUAUAUAAAUCGUGUUUGGCAAAAUUCCGAUGGAAGAUAACUUAUUUGUUUUGUGUAAUUUAUAUAAAUGCAAUUUUCUAAGCAAAGAAUCUUUUGAUAGAUACGAUAUUUGAUGAACAUGAUUUAUAUAUCGGACAAGAUGUAUGAUGCAAUUAAAUCUGGAGAAAUGCUUAAAGGAAGAGAAUAUUGUUAUGGGGAUGAGUGAUUUCUGUAGAUUCUGCUGGCCAUUUGUGCUCGGUGACUCAAGACAGGAGCGCUGUAAUUAUCUUUCAUCCGACAGAAAAGGGGAGGCUUAAAGUUGAAUUUAAAAUGCUCUUUUUAAAACCAUGCCAUCAAAAACAUUCAAAUAAUCGUUUCUUCUUUUCCUUUUUCAAAUUUUUAAGCCAACGUCUCUUUCUUAUAAGAGAUCUUAUGGUGGUGAAUUAUUUUUAAGAAUUUCGGGUAUGUUAACUAUAAAAUCCCCCAAAAAUAUGGGUCGAUAUUUACACUUUUUGGCCAUUUUUGAUUCGUCCCUAUUUGAUCCGCGUCUACGGAAGAGAUCGUUUUUACGACUUCUAUUAGAAAUUAGUUUUUCACUGGUACAGUACCAAUUUAAUUUUAUUCGAUCAGAAAUCGAGAAUUACAAGCUGUUGUUAGUGGAAAAAAGUCCGAUGUCGAAGCUGAAAGAAGAAAGAAUAUCGACUGGUCAAAUAAAACAAAAAACGAGCAAAGCCAGCCAACUAUCGAAGAACCCUUAAGAAUAUCGCUUACUUCUAUAAAAUAGAGUCAAUAGAGAAGUAUAUUUUCCGUGUGGAGUAGAUUGAUGACCAAAUUUGCAGAUUUGAAAUAUUGGUUCGAAUUUGAUCGAUGUCACAAAUGUAUUACCGAGAAUAUGUUCUAGCUCGGAGAAACACGUGGUGAAAAAAUAACGUUUUCUUCAUUUUUUUAUGCGAAAAAAUGGCCUUUCAAACGACAAAAUUACAUAAUUUUAUUUUUCCCCAUAAGAAAAAACACGUCGAAUUUUUUAACGAAGAAAAAAAUACAAAUUUAUGCGUUAUACAUUAAUCCCUCUAUAGACUUCAUCGAGUUUUUAAAAUAUUCAUUUACUCCAUUCGAUUAAUUUAUGGCAGGAAUAAAUAAUGACGUAGAUAUGUCAUUGGCAAAGAAAAAAAAAAAAAAAAACCUUUAAAUUUUUUGUCAUAGUUUCUCCUCACCAUUAUCUCCUAACUUUUACAGAUAAAAAGUAAAACCCGCUUUCAUCUUCAUCCCAUCAAUAUUGUGGUUUAGAUUUAGGAUAUAAAAAAUGAAAGAUUGUUAAGGGGGCGAAGAAAAAAAAGAGGCAAAUUUGCGAUAUUUCGUACAUAUUGCCUUAGUCAAUUAGAUAAAAAGGAAAAUAUUUUGAAAAGUAAUUAAUGCCGUUUUUAUCGUUUUAGAGUCAAACUUACUUUUAAAAGAAAAUUUUGUGAAG
This 5433-nucleotide long non-coding RNA is filed under the name Androctonus crassicauda. The record is from RNAcentral. Lineage: Eukaryota; Metazoa; Arthropoda; Arachnida; Scorpiones; Buthidae.